GACGGUCAAGUCCUCAUGGCCUUAUGUCUUAGGGCUACACACGUGCUACAAUGGGUGGUACAAAGAGCAGCUAACUCGCGAGAGUAUGCAAAUCUCAAAAAGCCGUCCUCAGUUCGGAUUGGAGUCUGCAACUCGACUCCAUGAAGUUGGAAUCGCUAGUAAUCGCGGAUCAGCAUGCCGCGGUGAAUACCGUUCCCGGGCCUU
RNAcentral lists this ribosomal RNA (204 nucleotides) under uncultured Syntrophus sp. RNAcentral's name for it is "partial 16S ribosomal RNA". It matches the Rfam family "Bacterial small subunit ribosomal RNA", at positions 1181 to 1382 of the family's 1533-position model. The record is from RNAcentral. Lineage: Bacteria; Pseudomonadati; Thermodesulfobacteriota; Syntrophia; Syntrophales; Syntrophaceae.